RNAcentral lists this long non-coding RNA (354 nucleotides) under Olea europaea (common olive). RNAcentral's name for it is "long non-coding RNA (OEUR_LNC008128)". The record is from RNAcentral. Lineage: Eukaryota; Viridiplantae; Streptophyta; Magnoliopsida; Lamiales; Oleaceae.
AUUUACCUUCUAAAAAUUACUUCAGGGCUGUCAAUCAUUCCCUCGGAGAAUUCAUUCCCGGCCAAUGGACUCUGUGGACUUAGAAAAGAAGCACCACCACCAUUACCAUCACCACCCCCCUCCUCCUUCUCACCGCCGCCACCUCCCUCCUCCUCCUCCUCACCGCCGCCACCUCCCUCCUCCUCCUCACCACCACCAGCACCACCAUCAUCAAUUCUCUUACAUAUCUCCUCAUUGCCCACACCACAGUUAUCUUUUACGGCAAAGGAAUCACUCACAAUCCUGCCCUUUUUUCAUCAGCCGCUUCUCUGAACCAUUUGCUUUUGUUCAAUCUCAAACCCAUGCGAAUUNNNN